GAUGAACGCUGGCGGCGUGCCUAAUACAUGCAAGUCGAGCGAAUGGAUUAAGAGCUUGCUCUUAUGAAGUUAGCGGCGGACGGGUGAGUAACACGUGGGUAACCUGCCCAUAAGACUGGGAUAACUCCGGGAAACCGGGGCUAAUACCGGAUAACAUUUUGAACCGCAUGGUUCGAAAUUGAAAGGCGGCUUCGGCUGUCACUUAUGGAUGGAACCGCGUCGCAUUAGCUAGUUGGUGAGGUAACGGCGCACCAAGGCAACGAUGCGUAGCCGACCUGAGAGGGUGAUCGGCCACACUGGGACUGAGACACGGCCCAGACUCCUACGGGAGGCAGCAGUAGGGAAUCUUCCGCAAUGGACGAAAGUCUGACGGAGCAACGCCGCGUGAGUGAUGAAGGCUUUCGGGUCGUAAAGCUCUGUUGUUAGGGAAGAACAAGUGCUAGUUGAAUAAGCUGGCACCUUGACGGUACCUAACCAGAAAGCCACGGCUAACUACGUGCCAGCAGCCGCCGUAA
This 515-nucleotide ribosomal RNA is filed under the name uncultured bacterium. RNAcentral describes it as "partial 16S ribosomal RNA". It matches the Rfam family "Bacterial small subunit ribosomal RNA", at positions 28 to 523 of the family's 1533-position model. The record is from RNAcentral.